AGAGGGAUGGCAGAGUGGUCGAUUGCGGCGGUCUUGAAAACCGCAGACCUCUUGCGGGGUCCGGGGGUUCGAAUCCCUCUCCCUCUACGA
Molecule: transfer RNA, 90 nt
Filed under: Raineya orbicola
Lineage: Bacteria; Pseudomonadati; Bacteroidota; Cytophagia; Cytophagales; Raineyaceae
Description: tRNA-Ser
Rfam family: tRNA
About the family: Transfer RNA (tRNA) molecules are approximately 80 nucleotides in length. Their secondary structure includes four short double-helical elements and three loops (D, anti-codon, and T loops).
Source: RNAcentral